RNAcentral lists this ribosomal RNA (468 nucleotides) under uncultured bacterium. RNAcentral describes it as "partial 16S ribosomal RNA". It matches the Rfam family "Bacterial small subunit ribosomal RNA", at positions 28 to 507 of the family's 1533-position model. The record is from RNAcentral.
GACGAACGCUGGCGGCGUGCUUAACACAUGCAAGUCGAACGGAAAGGCCCUGCUUUUGUGGGGUGCUCGAGUGGCGAACGUGUGAGUCACCCGUGAGUAACCUGCCCUUGACUUUGGGCUAACUUCAGUACACUGGGGCUAAUACCGGAUAGGAGCUCCUGCUGCAUGGUGGGGGUUGGCAAGUUUCGGCGGUUGGGGAGGGACUCGCGGCUUAUCAGCCUGUUGUUGGGGUAGUGUCUUACCAAGGCUUUGACGGGUAGCCGGCCGGAGCGGGUGACGGGCAACAUUGGGAGGGAUAUGCGGCCCAGACGACUACGGGAGGAGGCAGUGGGGAAUAUUGCACAAUGGGCGGAAGCCGGAUGCAGCAACGCCGCGUGGGGGAUGAAGGCCGUCGGGUGGUAGUCCGCUUUCGCCUGUGACGAAGAGUGAGUGACGGUAAUGGGUAAAGAAGCACCGGCUAACUACGUG